GGCGGCAUGGCCAAGUGGUAAGGCAAGGGACUGCAAAUCCUUUAUCCCCGGUUCGAAUCUGGGUGUCGCCU
This 71-nucleotide transfer RNA is filed under the name Gastrochilus gongshanensis. Its description in RNAcentral is "tRNA-Cys". It matches the Rfam family "tRNA". From Rfam's summary of the family: Transfer RNA (tRNA) molecules are approximately 80 nucleotides in length. Their secondary structure includes four short double-helical elements and three loops (D, anti-codon, and T loops). The record is from RNAcentral. Lineage: Eukaryota; Viridiplantae; Streptophyta; Magnoliopsida; Asparagales; Orchidaceae.